This 497-nucleotide ribosomal RNA is filed under the name uncultured bacterium. RNAcentral describes it as "partial 16S ribosomal RNA". It matches the Rfam family "Bacterial small subunit ribosomal RNA", at positions 28 to 507 of the family's 1533-position model. The record is from RNAcentral.
GAUGAACGCUGGCGGCGUGCCUAAUACAUGCAAGUCGAGCGAACGGACGAGAAGCUUGCUUCUCUGAUGUUAGCGGCGGACGGGUGAGUAACACGUGGAUAACCUACCUAUAAGACUGGGAUAACUUCGGGAAACCGGAGCUAAUACCGGAUAAUAUUUUGAACCGCAUGGUUCAAAAGUGAAAGACGGUCUUGCUGUCACUUAUAGAUGGAUCCGCGCUGCAUUAGCUAGUUGGUAAGGUAACGGCUUACCAAGGCAACGAUGCAUAGCCGACCUGAGAGGGUGAUCGGCCACACUGGAACUGAGACACGGGCCAGACUCCUACGGGAGGCAGCAGUAGGGAAUCUUCCGCAAUGGGCGAAAGCCUGACGGAGCAACGCCGCGUGAGUGAUGAAGGUCUUCGGAUCGUAAAACUCUGUUAUUAGGGAAGAACAUAUGUGUAAGUAACUGUGCACAUCUUGACGGUACCUAAUCAGAAAGCCACGGCUAACUACGUG